This 339-nucleotide unclassified non-coding RNA is filed under the name soil metagenome. Its description in RNAcentral is "partial contains 5.8S ribosomal RNA, internal transcribed spacer 2, and large subunit ribosomal RNA". The stretch from base 1 to 120 matches the Rfam family "5.8S ribosomal RNA", at positions 35 to 154 of the family's 154-position model. The record is from RNAcentral.
GAUGAAGAACGCAGCGAAAUGCGAUAAGUAGUGUGAAUUGCAGAAUUUAGUGAAUCAUCGAAUCUUUGAACGCACAUUGCGCCCUUUGGUAUUCCUUAGGGCAUGCCUGUUCGAGCGUCAUCUACACCCUCAAGCACAGCUUGGUGAUGGGCGCCUGUCCCGCCCCCCACGGGGGCGCGGACUCGCCUCAAAUGCAUUGGCGGCCGGCGACCUGGCUUCGAGCGCAGCAGAAACGCGUACUCGGGGACCGGGCGCCCGCUCCCAGAAGCCAACCCACCCAGUUUGACCUCGGAUCAGGUAGGGAUACCCGCUGAACUUAAGCAUAUCAAUAAGCGAGGA